GGAUGGGAUACAACACCAUCAUUUGAAAUUUUAAGACUACUUGAGAGGAAACCUUUUAAAAUGUUAAGAAUUUGCCUUUUCUUCAUGUUUUAGCCAUUUUCAAAUGGAACAAAUGGCCUGGGUUCCCCAGAGUUCCUGCAAGUCCAGCUCCCAAAGAAUACAAACUCCACCGAAGUGUUAUGUUCCUAAAACCCGUGACUGCCUGAUGUAAACACUUCCUGGUGACCUAUGAUGAAACCAGAAAUACCCUAGCAAAUCCUUUGUUUUCAUUUUAAAGAAAAGAUAAUUUCAAAAUCUUUAUUAUUUCUAAUCAAUAAUACAUUCCAAAAGAUCUUUAUUUUUAAAGCUAAAAUAACUAUGAUUUUUUAAAUGUGAGCCCACCUCGAAUCACUGGGUAAAUAAAUUUUUUUCCCUUAAACUGAUUUUAAAAAUGGAUACAACCAGUCUGAAUGAAAACAAGUAAGCAUUUUGUAAGAGUUCUUCUUCUUCAAUAGGGACAUACUUCACCCAAAAGGGGCUGAUAAAUUACAGCCAGUUAACAACAUACUCAGCUCAGACCCUAGAAAAAUACUCGCAUUUGUUUACUUCAUGAAACCAACAAAUAAGGAAUGGAUUAAAACAAGUAUCGCUCUCAGAAAAUAGCAUCUGGGAAAAAGACCUGGUUCUCCAGGGGGCUUACAGCCUGGAGCUGACCCACCAGCCUCCAGCCCUUCAGGUGCUUCCAUUAUACCCAGUUCUGAGUGCAACUCACUCCUGUUUCUUAGGCAAUCUCUGGAGCUCAGGAGGAAGGGUUACAGCACCCAUGGGCUGAGCACAUGGGCUUUGUGGCUAUUCCAGGGCAGGUAACAAAGGCCCUGGUGUGUGAAGGGACAGCAGAGCAAACAAUGGGCCCUGUCCAGCCAUCCUGGCCUGCAUUUGGCAUUCUUGCAUUUGGUGAUGAUUCCUUUGGCCUGAAUUGUGUCAUGCCCUUCCUGUGCAAAGUGCAAAGCCAGUCCCUUCACAGCAGAUGAGCCCCUCCCUCUGCUCCUUGGUGAUUUUACUCUGCAGAGCCUCCCAGAGGGUUUGAUCGCAUCCAACUCUGCACACGUGGGUCAAGAGGAUCCCUCAGCUCAGGCACAAACUAUUAAGUGAAACUUUUGAAAGAGCCAAUCUCGUUUCUGCUGAAGCAUCUGCUGAAAUGUCAAGAGGCACAUACAUAUUCUUUCAGGCUCUUUUAAAUUCUCCCCGCCUGUAAGAAGAGGUAAGAAUGAACGAACACCCAGAUGUUCUUGAAUCCAAGACAGAAGGAAUAAAAACACUCCUCCCAAAAUGAAGUGCUAAGGUCCUCUUAACUUGGUGAACAAAAAGGCUUCUCUAACAAACAGCAAGUCUCUGGUUUUCCAGAAUUAAAAAACAAAAAACAA
Molecule: long non-coding RNA, 1403 nt
Organism: Sapajus apella (tufted capuchin)
Lineage: Eukaryota; Metazoa; Chordata; Mammalia; Primates; Cebidae
Exons: 2
Source: RefSeq, a predicted model, not a curated record